GCACUUAUGGCUCAGUGGUAGAGCGUGUCACUAGUAAUGACAAGGUCCGCGGUUCGAUCCCGCGUAAGUGCA
Transfer RNA from Talaromyces stipitatus ATCC 10500, 72 nucleotides. It matches the Rfam family "tRNA". From Rfam's summary of the family: Transfer RNA (tRNA) molecules are approximately 80 nucleotides in length. Their secondary structure includes four short double-helical elements and three loops (D, anti-codon, and T loops). The record is from Rfam. Lineage: Eukaryota; Fungi; Ascomycota; Eurotiomycetes; Eurotiales; Trichocomaceae.